This 460-nucleotide ribosomal RNA is filed under the name uncultured bacterium. Its description in RNAcentral is "partial 16S ribosomal RNA". It matches the Rfam family "Bacterial small subunit ribosomal RNA", at positions 339 to 795 of the family's 1533-position model. The record is from RNAcentral.
CUACGGGUUGCUCCAGUUUCGAAUAAUUCACAAUGGGCGCAAGCCUGAUGAUGCGACGUUACGUGAAGGAAGAAAGCUUUAAGUUGUAAACUUCUGUCGUUAAGGAACAAAAAAUUAAGUAGUACUUUUUAUAUUGAGUUAACUUAAAAAGGAAGCAGUGACUAAUUUCGUGCCAGCAGCCGCGGUAAUACGGGAACUGCAAGCGUUGCUCUGUUUUAUUGGGCGUAAAGAGUACGUAGGCUGUUAUAUAUGUUAAUUGUUAAAUUUUAAAGUUAAUCUUUAAAUUUGCUGUUAAAACUAUAUAACUAGAAUUUCAAAGAGGUAAGUGGAAUUUCAAGUGUAGCGGUGAAAUGCGUAGAUAUUUGAAGGAACACCAAUGGCGAAAGCAACUUACUGGGUGAUAAUUGACGCUAAAGUACGAAAGUACAGGGAGCAAAAGGGAUUAGAUACCCCUGUAGUC